RNAcentral lists this ribosomal RNA (432 nucleotides) under uncultured Mycoplana sp. Its description in RNAcentral is "bacterial SSU rRNA". It matches the Rfam family "Bacterial small subunit ribosomal RNA", at positions 342 to 791 of the family's 1533-position model. The record is from RNAcentral. Lineage: Bacteria; Pseudomonadati; Pseudomonadota; Alphaproteobacteria; Hyphomicrobiales; Rhizobiaceae.
CGGGUCGCAGCAGUGGGGAAUCUUGCGCAAUGGGCGAAAGCCUGACGCAGCCAUGCCGCGUGUAUGAUGAAGGUCUUAGGAUUGUAAAAUACUUUCACCGGUGAAGAUAAUGACUGUAGCCGGAGAAGAAGCCCCGGCUAACUUCGUGCCAGCAGCCGCGGUAAUACGAAGGGGGCUAGCGUUGCUCGGAAUUACUGGGCGUAAAGGGAGCGUAGGCGGACAUUUAAGUCAGGGGUGAAAUCCCAGAGCUCAACUCUGGAACUGCCUUUGAUACUGGGUGUCUUGAGUGUGAGAGAGGUAUGUGGAACUCCGAGUGUAGAGGUGAAAUUCGUAGAUAUUCGGAAGAACACCAGUGGCGAAGGCGACAUACUGGCUCAUUACUGACGCUGAGGCUCGAAAGCGUGGGGAGCAAACAGGAUUAGAUACCCGAGU